AGUGAACGCUGGCGGCAUGCUUUACACAUGCAAGUCGAACGGCAGCACGGGUGCUUGCACCUGGUGGCGAGUGGCGGACGGGUGAGUAAUGCAUCGGAGCGUGUCCUGAAGUGGGGGAUAACGCAUCGAAAGAUGUGCUAAUACCGCAUAUUCUCUGAGGAGGAAAGUAGGGGAUCGAAAGACCUUAUGCUUUUGGAGCGGCCGAUGUCUGAUUAGCUAGUUGGUAGGGUAAUGGCUUACCAAGGCGACGAUCAGUAGUUGGUCUGAGAGGACGACCAGCCACACUGGGACUGAGACACGGCCCAGACUCCUACGGGAGGCAGCAGUGGGGAAUUUUGCGCAAUGGGCGAAGCCUGACGCAGCCACGCCGCGUGAGCGAUGAAGGCC
This 387-nucleotide ribosomal RNA is filed under the name uncultured bacterium. Its description in RNAcentral is "bacterial SSU rRNA". It matches the Rfam family "Bacterial small subunit ribosomal RNA", at positions 29 to 416 of the family's 1533-position model. The record is from RNAcentral.